CAACCCACCAAUCAACUUUGUGUGUGGAUGAGUCAGCACUGUUAGAUUUCCUUGGGCAAUGGCAGCUGUGAUUGGAAUAAGGCUGCAAUUCUGUCCAUGCUCCUUGUGAGACUUUCAGUUGUGGACUCUUAAUCCUGAUUGCUUUGAAAUACCAGUAUGCAAGAGAAAGAUCUUGAUCUCCUUUAUCUAGGACUCACUCUCUGACACAGACUUGAUCACAAUUGUGACAACAACUAAUUCGGAGCCCCGGUAACAGAAUUCCUUGGCUCAAAAGUUCUAAGAAGACCCAACCAAGUGGCCCAUUUAUCUUGGUCUUUGAAAAAAUAAUUGCUGCUUGAUUCUAAAAAAAAAGCCAUUUUCUUGUUCAGGGAGUGUAUGAUUUAUAGGGAAAUUUGCAUUGUAAAGCCAUAGUGGUAGGCAAAUUAAUCUUAGAUUCAUCCAUCUCUGUUAAAUAUGACUACAUGCUUUGUGAGCUCAUUAACACUCUUUCCCCACUGGCUAUGAAUCUUUUUCUAGAUUAAGGGAUGGCAUAAACUCAGUACAGCCAUCUCUCUCUCUCUCUCUCAUAUUCACUCAUAUAUAUAUAUAUAAAUUUAUACAUACACAGACACACAGAGCCACUUGCUCUAACAUGCUGAGGCCCUAAGCUUUGUCAAACAUAGGUCCCAUAGCAUUACGCACACAACAAAACUUUUCUAAUAAAAAGGACAAUAAAAAUAAA
Molecule: long non-coding RNA, 721 nt
Organism: Hemicordylus capensis (graceful crag lizard)
Lineage: Eukaryota; Metazoa; Chordata; Lepidosauria; Squamata; Cordylidae
Exons: 3
Source: RefSeq, a predicted model, not a curated record